GACGAACGCUGGCGGCGUGCUUAACACAUGCCAGUCGAACGGUAAGGCCCUUCGGGGUACACGAGUGGCGAACGGGCGAGUAACGCGUGAGUAACCUGCCCUUCACUCUGGGAUAACAGUUGGAAACGGCUGCUAAUACCGGAUAUUCAGCUCCUGUCGCCUGGUGGGGGUUGGAAAGUUUUGGUGGUGGAGGAUGGGCUCGCGUCCUAUCAGCUUGUUGGUGGGGUGAUGGCCUACCAAGGCGUCGACGGGUAGCCGGCCUGAGAGGGCGACCGGCCACAUUGGGACUGAGAUACGGCCCAAACUCCUACGGGAGGCAGCAGUGGGGAAUAUUGCACAAUGGGCGGAAGCCUGAUGCAGCAACGCCGCGUGCGGGAUGACGGCCUUCGGGUUGUAAACCGCUUUCAGCAGGGACGAAGCGCAAGUGACGGUACCUGCAGAAGAAGCACCGGCUAACUACGUG
Molecule: ribosomal RNA, 463 nt
Filed under: uncultured bacterium
Lineage: Bacteria
Description: partial 16S ribosomal RNA
Rfam family: Bacterial small subunit ribosomal RNA
Source: RNAcentral